CCCAACAAAAAAAAAUAAAUUAAAGCCUUUGAGAGAGAGAGAGAGACCACCACUCACCGGAAAACCACCUAACUCAGACCCCGUUUUCUAAAUCAUAAGGUCGUUGAUUUCUCGCAUAUUCACAAAACAGCCCCGGGAAUCCUGGGAAAAUCCAGAAGAACAGAGGAGAAAUUUGGGGGAUAAGCAAUGGAUUUCUGGUCUCCGUCUGUCUCUUCAGAUAAUGAGUUGGAGAAGUUUGUCAUCAGAAUGAACCCUCCCAAGGUAACGAUUGAUAACACAUCGAGCAGGAAAGCAACCCUAGUGAAGGUUGAUAGUGCAAAUAAGAGAGGAAGCUUGUUGGAAGUAGUUCAGGUUUU
This is a long non-coding RNA of Tarenaya hassleriana, 356 nucleotides long. RefSeq lists it as uncharacterized. NCBI's taxonomy places the organism in Eukaryota, Viridiplantae, Streptophyta, Magnoliopsida, Brassicales, Cleomaceae. The transcript is spliced from 3 exons. The record is from RefSeq and is a predicted model, not a curated record.